GAGUGCUCCAGAGCUACUGAGAGUAAGAGUGUGGAAAGAAAAGUGCCUUUCUUUUUCUGAGUAAUUGCAGAAAGAGCAAAUUCCUUAGAAAAUCAGAGGUCUUGGGAAGCAACAUCACUGGCGGGCACGACUGAACAGGGAGGAAGGGCCGUGAGCGUCGAGAGGACAGACUUUCACCCACAGAAACCACAGCCAGGGAGCACAGGGGUCAGGCACAGUUAUCCAGUGAACCCAGUGUCUGUUUCCCCGGAAAACAGACAAGGACACGCAUUUGCAGCAGAUCUCUACUUGAAAGAGAGAAACCUAACUGUGAAGGUACAAGAUGCCUUAGCCAUCAGGGGUGCAAGGUUUUUCCCACCUUUCAGUAAGUCUCGUGAAUCUCAGGCUGGGCUUACUCUUGCUGUGGAGUGGAAGGUGACCUUCGGCAUCUACUCCUCUACCUCUGCAGUGCUAGGAUUAUAGAAAACAAAGGCUGGCCCUGGAUGUCCCUUUAUGCUAUGUAUCUGAGGACGGCCAUUGUUGGACCAGCCUGACUCCAUCUUAAGGAUGGAAGCCAUUUUGUUACAAGUUCAUUUUAGUGAUACAAAAUUCAAGUCAAUUGUACUUUAGCCUGUUUCUGGAGUUUGACAUGCUCCCCACCCGAUGGAGUCUGACUCACAACUUGAGUAUAGCCUGAUAGGUAAGAUGCUCUACCAGAUAAUUUUAAAAUGUUCAGCCAAGUUCCUACGUGACCAAAACUCCUCUGGAAAUCCCCCAACCC
This is a long non-coding RNA of Mesocricetus auratus (golden hamster), 760 nucleotides long. RefSeq lists it as uncharacterized. The record is from RefSeq and is a predicted model, not a curated record. Lineage: Eukaryota; Metazoa; Chordata; Mammalia; Rodentia; Cricetidae. The transcript has 3 exons.